RNAcentral lists this ribosomal RNA (274 nucleotides) under uncultured bacterium. RNAcentral's name for it is "partial 16S ribosomal RNA". It matches the Rfam family "Bacterial small subunit ribosomal RNA", at positions 523 to 796 of the family's 1533-position model. The record is from RNAcentral.
AUACGGAGGGUGCAAGCGUUAUCCGGAAUCAUUGGGUUUAAAGGGUCCGUAGGCGGGCUAAUAAGUCAGGGGUGAAAUCCCACAGCUUAACUGUGGAACUGCCCUUGAUACUGUUGGUCUUGAGUUACAGUGAAGUGGUUAGAAUGUGUAGUGUGGCGGUGAAAUGCAUAGAGAUUACACAGAAUACCGAUUGCGAAGGCAGAUCACUAACUGUAUACUGACGCUAAUGGACGAAAGCGUGGGGAGCGAACAGGAUUAGAAACCCUAGUAGUCC